This is a long non-coding RNA of Cavia porcellus (domestic guinea pig), 747 nucleotides long. RefSeq lists it as uncharacterized. The transcript has 3 exons. Lineage: Eukaryota; Metazoa; Chordata; Mammalia; Rodentia; Caviidae. The record is from RefSeq and is a predicted model, not a curated record.
GCUACUCUAAGGACAUGCUAAUCUAUCACCGAUGUAAGGUCCUCCUGGUAAGAGCGUGUGACCUCAGCUGAGGAACUCUUUUCAGCUGAGGACAAUUUUUAGAAAGACCGAGAGCUGAGUGCAGAAAGCUGGCAGCACGUCAGCACUAAGAGGGGUAAGUCUUCCCACCUCAGCCCAAGCACCUUGGGCUUCCAAGCACUCCUUGCGCUGCUUAAACCUACUUUCAGGGACCAGACAGAUUCUUGGGAAUCGUGCUGAUCCACCUUCCAUGGCGGAAUAUUAUAAGAGAGUCUCGCUACGUAGUCUAGACUAGCCCUGAAUUCACUGUGUAUUCCGAGCUGGUCUUGAACUCUAUCCUUCUGCCUCAGCCUCCUGAGAGCUGGGAUUACAGAAUUUUAAAAAGAAUUUAAACCACAUGAAGUGAUCGGAAAGCUCAAAAUUUUCACCAAAGCAAGAAGACCUACACUCAAGUUUUAGAAGUUAUUCUUGGAGAAAUGCUUUUUUGGGUUUAUAUCAUUUCGUCAGCAGAUGGCGCUCUUACCUUUGUGCAUCUUUAAGGGGUGCUUGGGCUGGGCCUCAGGAACGGUUUCCCUGUUUUUAUUCAAACGCAGUUUUAUAACAAAGCAACAAAACCAUUUUUACUGUGUUUAGCAAAAGUGGAUGAGUAGAAAAAACCGUUUCUAUAGAUGUCCAUUCAAUGGUUUGUUACUAUGUGAAAUAAAGAUCCAUAUGAAUAAAAACUUCUCU